Molecule: ribosomal RNA, 237 nt
Filed under: uncultured Glomeromycotina
Lineage: Eukaryota; Fungi; Glomeromycota
Also listed under: 1 other name
Description: partial 18S ribosomal RNA
Rfam family: Eukaryotic small subunit ribosomal RNA (bases 48-237)
Source: RNAcentral
GAAUUUGCCCAUUGGUCAGGCUUAACUGUCUGAACUGGUGUGACGAGUUCCUACCUUCUGAGGAAUCUUCAUGCCAUUCAUUUGGUGUGGAGGGAAAUCAGGACUGUUACUUUGAAAAAAUUAGAGUGUUUAAAGCAGGCUCACGCUUGAAUACAUUAGCAUGGAAUAAUGAAAUAGGACGUUUGAUUCUAUUUUGUUGGUUUCUAGGAUCGAUGUAAUGAUUAAUAGGGAUAGUUG